RNAcentral lists this transfer RNA (85 nucleotides) under Felis catus (domestic cat). It matches the Rfam family "tRNA". Rfam says of the family: Transfer RNA (tRNA) molecules are approximately 80 nucleotides in length. Their secondary structure includes four short double-helical elements and three loops (D, anti-codon, and T loops). Lineage: Eukaryota; Metazoa; Chordata; Mammalia; Carnivora; Felidae. The record is from Rfam by way of RNAcentral.
GCCUGGGUGGCUCAGUCGGUUGAGCAUCCGACUUUGGCUCAGGUCAUGAUCUCGUGGUCCGUGGGUUUGAGCCCCACAUUGGGCU